Acanthosepion pharaonis is the source of this 104-nucleotide non-coding RNA. The record is from the annotation of a GenBank genome assembly. Lineage: Eukaryota; Metazoa; Mollusca; Cephalopoda; Sepiida; Sepiidae.
UUACGGCCACAUCACAUUGAAAUUCCAGUUCCCAUAUGAUCACCGAAGUUAAGCAAUAUCAAGCCUGAUCAUUACCUCAAUGGGUGACCACUUGGGAAUACCAA